GCUAUUCUGGGCACAGGGAAUACAUGGUAUGAUGUAUAUAAAGCAUUGGAGGUCCACAACCUCAUAGCUGUGGGGGCGCGUGCAGGUGAUGUCGGGGUUGGAGGCCACAUUCUUGGAGGUGGCAUAUCUUUCCUAUCCAAUCUGUAUGGCUGGGCUUGCGAUAAUGUCAUAAACUAUGAGGUUGUGGGCGCCUAUGGUGGGAUUCUCAAUAUCGAUGCUCAGAGACCAGAGAUGUUCUUCGCAUUAUGUGGAGGAGGGAACAAUUUCGGAAUCGUAACCAGGUUCACCGUGAAUAUAUACCCUCAAGGUCCGAUGUGGCAAGGGCUGCGAGAGUUCAGCAUGGAUCGCGAACAGGCUGUUCUCGAUACAUACGUUAACCUCGGGAGAGCAAUCAUCGAGGAUCCCAGGAGCAGCAACGGUUUCAUAGCCUUUACCGUCACGCAGAAAGCGGAAA
This 454-nucleotide small RNA is filed under the name Histoplasma ohiense. RNAcentral's name for it is "hypothetical lncRNA". The record is from RNAcentral. Lineage: Eukaryota; Fungi; Ascomycota; Eurotiomycetes; Onygenales; Ajellomycetaceae.